AACGAACGCUGGCGGCAUGCCUAACACAUGCAAGUCGAACGAGACCUUCGGGUCUAGUGGCGCACGGGUGCGUCACGCGUGGGAACCUGCCCUUAGGUUCGGAAUAACUCCCCGAAAGGGGUGCUAAUACCGGAUAAUGUCUUCGGACCAAAGAUUUAUCGCCUUUGGAUGGGCCCGCGUUGGAUUAGCUAGUUGGUAGGGUAAAAGCCUCCCAAGGCGACGAUCCAUAGCUGGUCUGAGAGGAGGAUCAGCCACACUGGGACUGAGACACGGCCCAGACUCCUACGGGAGGCAGCAGUGGGGAAUAGUGGACAAUGGGCGAAAGCCUGAUCCAGCAAUGCCGCGUGAGUGAUGAAGGCCUUAGGGUUGUAAAGCUCUUUUACCCGGGAUGAUAAUGACAGUACCGGGAGAAUAAGCUCCGGCUAACUCCGUG
RNAcentral lists this ribosomal RNA (433 nucleotides) under uncultured bacterium. Its description in RNAcentral is "partial 16S ribosomal RNA". It matches the Rfam family "Bacterial small subunit ribosomal RNA", at positions 29 to 507 of the family's 1533-position model. The record is from RNAcentral.